GGUUUAAUUCGAAGCAACGCGAAGAACCUUACCAAAUCUUGACAUCCCUCUGACCGGCGAGUAAUGUCGCCUUUCCUUCGGGACAGAGGAGACAGGUGGUGCAUGGUUGUCGUCAGCUCGUGUCGUGAGAUGUUGGGUUAAGUCCCGCAACGAGCGCAACCCUUAUCCUAAGUAGCCAGCAGUUCGGCUGGGCACUCUUGGGAGACUGCCAGGGAUAACCUGGA
Molecule: ribosomal RNA, 224 nt
Filed under: uncultured bacterium
Lineage: Bacteria
Description: partial 16S ribosomal RNA
Rfam family: Bacterial small subunit ribosomal RNA
Source: RNAcentral